This 465-nucleotide ribosomal RNA is filed under the name uncultured bacterium. RNAcentral's name for it is "partial 16S ribosomal RNA". It matches the Rfam family "Bacterial small subunit ribosomal RNA", at positions 28 to 507 of the family's 1533-position model. The record is from RNAcentral.
GAUGAACGCUGGCGGCGUGCUUAACACAUGCAAGUCGAACGGAAAGGCUCCUGCUUGCAGGGGUACUCGAGUGGCGAACGGGUGAGUAACACGUGGGUGAUCUGCCCUGCACUUCGGGAUAAGCCUGGGAAACUGGGUCUAAUACCGGAUAGGACGAUGGUUUGGAUGCCAUUGUGGAAAGUUUUUCGGUGUGGGAUGAGCUCGCGGCCUAUCAGCUUGUUGGUGGGGUAAUGGCCUACCAAGGCGUCGACGGGUAGCCGGCCUGAGAGGGUGUACGGCCACAUUGGGACUGAGAUACGGCCCAGACUCCUACGGGAGGCAGCAGUGGGGAAUAUUGCACAAUGGGCGGAAGCCUGAUGCAGCAACGCCGCGUGGGGGAUGACGGCCUUCGGGUUGUAAACUCCUUUCGCUAGGGACGAAGCGCAAGUGACGGUACCUGGAGAAGAAGCACCGGCUAACUACGUG